GUUCGAUCUCAAAUCAGGUAGGACUACCCCGCU
This 33-nucleotide ribosomal RNA is filed under the name uncultured Tomentella. RNAcentral's name for it is "partial 28S ribosomal RNA". Lineage: Eukaryota; Fungi; Basidiomycota; Agaricomycetes; Thelephorales; Thelephoraceae. The record is from RNAcentral.